UAUAGUUUAUUUGAUAAUCCCUUACUACUUGGAUAACCGUAGUAAUUCUAGAGCUAAUACAUGCAUAAAUGCCCGACUGCUUGCGGAAAGGCAGCAUUUAUUAGAUAAAAGCCAACCGUCUUCGGACGUGAUUUUGGUGAUUCAUAAUACCUUUGCGAAUCGUACGACUCCAUGUCGACGAUGGAUCAUUCAAGUUUCUGCCCUAUUAGAUUUGGAUGGUAGUGUAUUGGACUAUUAUGUCGUUGAUGGGUAACGGAGAAUUAGGGUUCGAUUCCGGAGAGGGAGCCUGAGAGACGGCUACCACA
RNAcentral lists this ribosomal RNA (305 nucleotides) under uncultured eukaryote. Its description in RNAcentral is "SSU rRNA". It matches the Rfam family "Eukaryotic small subunit ribosomal RNA", at positions 111 to 414 of the family's 1831-position model. The record is from RNAcentral.